AGUGAACGCUGGCGGUAGGCCUAACACAUGCAAGUCGAACGGCAGCACAGUAAGAGCUUGCUCUUACGGGUGGCGAGUGGCGGACGGGUGAGGAAUACAUCGGAAUCUACUUUUUCGUGGGGGAUAACGUAGGGAAACUUACGCUAAUACCGCAUACGACCUACGGGGGAAAGCAGGGGAUCUUCGGACCUUGCGCGAUUGAAUGCGCCGAUGUCGGAUUAGCUAGUUGGCGGGGUAACGGCCCACCCAGGCGACUAUCCGUAGCUGGUCUGAGAGGAUGAUCAGCCACCCUGGAACGGAGACACGGUCCAGACUCCUACGGGAGGCAGCAGUGGGGAAUAUUGGACAAUGGGCGCAAGCCUGAUCCAGCCAUACCGCGUGGGUGAAGAAGGCCUUCGGGUUGUAAAGCCCUUUUGUUGGGAAAGAAAUCCAGCCGGCUAAUACCUGGUUGGGAUGACGGUACCCAAAGAAUAAGCACCGGCUAACUUCGUG
This 492-nucleotide ribosomal RNA is filed under the name uncultured bacterium. RNAcentral's name for it is "partial 16S ribosomal RNA". It matches the Rfam family "Bacterial small subunit ribosomal RNA", at positions 29 to 507 of the family's 1533-position model. The record is from RNAcentral.